GACGAACGCUGGCGGCGUGCUUAACACGUGCAAGUCGAACGGAAAGGCCCUUCGGGGUACUCGAGUGGCGAACGGGUGAGUAACACGUGGGUGAUCUGCCCUGCACUUUGGGAUAAGCCUGGGAAACUGGGUCUAAUACCGAAUAGGACCGCAUGCUUCAUGGUGUGUGGUGGAAAGCUUUUGCGGUGUGGGAUGGGCCCGCGGCCUAGCAGCUUGUUGGUGGGGUAAUGGCCUACCAAGGCGACGACGGGUAGCCGGCCUGAGAGGGUGACCGGCCACACUGGGACUGAGAUACGGCCCAGACUCCUACGGGAGGCAGCAGUGGGGAAUAUUGCACAAUGGGCGCAAGCCUGAUGCAGCGACGCCGCGUGAGGGAUGACGGCCCUCGGGUUGUAAACCUCUUUCAGCAGGGACGAAGCGCAAGUGACGGUACCUGCAGAAGAAGGACCGGCCAACUACGUGCCAGCCGCCGCGGUAA
RNAcentral lists this ribosomal RNA (478 nucleotides) under uncultured bacterium. RNAcentral's name for it is "partial 16S ribosomal RNA". It matches the Rfam family "Bacterial small subunit ribosomal RNA", at positions 28 to 523 of the family's 1533-position model. The record is from RNAcentral.